UUUGCAUUGAGAGCCUAGGCUCAGCUUUCCUAGGCUCCCUGGUGCAGCCCUCCCUUUCCACCCCUCAGGCUGUUUCCUCCCUGUUUUCCUCAAAAGAAGAAUUCCAAACAAAAGAUCUACUACCCUGAGAAGCAGUGAAGUGCUCCUGGGGCCCAUCAAGGCCACACAAGUUAAGGAGUGGAUGGUCUUGCCCCAGCUAUGGCUCAGAUCACCUUUGCAGGAUGACAUUGUGUUGGGAGAUGGUCAUCAGAGCCAGGGCCAUGGAAGAUGCUGUCAGGAGGAG
This 283-nucleotide long non-coding RNA is filed under the name Pongo abelii (Sumatran orangutan). Its description in RNAcentral is "lincRNA". The record is from RNAcentral. Lineage: Eukaryota; Metazoa; Chordata; Mammalia; Primates; Hominidae.